CCUACGGGGGGCUGCAGUGGGGAAUAUUGCACAAUGGGGGAAACCCUGAUGCAGCAACGCCGCGUGAGUGAAGGAGUAUUUCGGUAUUUAAAGCUCUAUCAGUAGGGAAGAAGAAAGACGUUACCUGACUAAGAAGCCCCGGCUAACUACGUACCAGCAGCCGCGGUAAUACGUAGGGGGCAAGCGUUAUCCGGAUUUACUGGGUGUAAAGGGAGCGUAGACGGCUGUGCAAGUCUGAAGUGAAAGCCCGUGGCUCAACCGUGGAACUGCUUUGGAAACUGUAUGUUUUGAGUACUGGAGAGGCAGGCGGAAUUCGUGGUGUAGCGGUGAAAUGCGUAGAUAUUAGGAGGAACACCAGUGGCGAAGGCGGCCUGCUGGACAGAAACUGACGUUGAGGCUCGAAAGCGUGGGGAGCAAACAGGAUUAGAUACCCCAGUAGUC
Molecule: ribosomal RNA, 441 nt
Filed under: uncultured bacterium
Lineage: Bacteria
Description: partial 16S ribosomal RNA
Rfam family: Bacterial small subunit ribosomal RNA
Source: RNAcentral